AGAAAUUUGGAUUAAUACCCUAUAGUAUCAUUUAGAGUCAUCUCUUUUUGAUUAAAGGUUACGGUAUGAGAUGAGUAUGCGUUCUAUUAGUUAGUAGGUGAGGUAACGGCUCACCUAGACCGCGAUAGAUAGGGGCCCUGAGAGGGGGAUCCCCCACACUGGUACUGAGACACGGACCAGACUCCUACGGGAGGCAGCAGUGAGGAAUAUUGGACAAUGGGCGAAAGCCUGAUCCAGCCAUGCCGCGUGCAGGAUGACGGCCCUAUGGGUUGUAAACUGCUUUUAUACAGGAAGAAAAAACUCUACGUGUAGAGUCUUGACGGUACUGUAAGAAUAAGGAUCGGC
Molecule: ribosomal RNA, 345 nt
Filed under: uncultured Bacteroidota bacterium
Lineage: Bacteria; Pseudomonadati; Bacteroidota
Description: bacterial SSU rRNA
Rfam family: Bacterial small subunit ribosomal RNA
Source: RNAcentral